Molecule: ribosomal RNA, 385 nt
Filed under: uncultured bacterium
Lineage: Bacteria
Description: bacterial SSU rRNA
Rfam family: Bacterial small subunit ribosomal RNA
Source: RNAcentral
GACGAACGCUGGCGGCGUGCUUAACACAUGCAAGUCGAGCGGUAAGGCCCUUUCGGGGGUACACGAGCGGCGAACGGGUGAGUAACACGUGGGUGACCUGCCCUCAGCUCUGGGAUAAGCCUGGGAAACUGGGUCUAAUACCGGAUAUGACCUGCUGCUUCAUGGUGGUGGGUGGAAAGUUUUUCGGCUGGGGAUGGGCCCGCGGCCUAUCAGCUUGUUGGUGGGGUGAUGGCCUACCAAGGCGACGACGGGUAGCCGGCCUGAGAGGGCGACCGGCCACACUGGGACUGAGACACGGCCCAGACUCCUACGGGAGGCAGCAGUGGGGAAUAUUGCGCAAUGGGCGGAAGCCUGACGCAGCGACGCCGCGUGGGGAUGACGGCCU